AUAUAAUGGGAAUAAGCGCAAAUUGUCACUAAAUAUCUGUUCUUAUCAGUUUAAUAUCUGAUGCGCCCUAUCUGGGGGCCAUAUAUUAAAUGUAUUUUUAGAACAGAGAGAUGGAAGAAGAGCUUGCUCUGUCCACUCCACGCAUUGACCUGGUAUUGCAGUACCUCCAGGACCGGUGCACCUCCU
This 186-nucleotide small nuclear RNA is filed under the name Leptobrachium leishanense (Leishan spiny toad). RNAcentral's name for it is "U2 spliceosomal RNA (ENSLLEG00000015008.1)". It matches the Rfam family "U2 spliceosomal RNA". From Rfam's summary of the family: U2 is a small nuclear RNA (snRNA) component of the spliceosome (involved in pre-mRNA splicing). Complementary binding between U2 snRNA (in an area lying towards the 5' end but 3' to hairpin I) and the branchpoint sequence (BPS) of the intron results the bulging out of an unpaired adenosine, on the BPS, which initiates a nucleophilic attack at the intronic 5' splice site, thus starting the first of two transesterification reactions that mediate splicing. Lineage: Eukaryota; Metazoa; Chordata; Amphibia; Anura; Megophryidae. The record is from Rfam by way of RNAcentral.